This 380-nucleotide long non-coding RNA is filed under the name Androctonus crassicauda. Lineage: Eukaryota; Metazoa; Arthropoda; Arachnida; Scorpiones; Buthidae. The record is from RNAcentral.
GAGAAGACUGCUUAGAAUUCCUUCGACUGCAAGACAAACCAAUAAAUCAGUGUUGGAUGAAGUUCAGCCAUGCUGCUCCCUAGAAGCCAUGAUCACCAAACAGCAGCUUUCAUAUUUUGGACAUGUGAUGCGUGCAGAGCAUAGACUGGAAAAGAUGAUUAUGCUUGGAAUGGUCGAGGGAGACAGAAGAAGAGGACGACAACGAACAAGAUGGAUAGAUAGGAUCAAGACAAGUACUAGAAAGACUUUGAGAGAACUAUGCGAUCUAACUAAAAACAGGUCUGAAUGGCGAGCAUUUGUCCAUACUAUCACCAGAAGUCAAACUCGACUUGAUGGCACCUAACAACAACAACAUGUCAAUCAUCUAUAAUCACGUGAUA